CUUCUAUUUUUUAAUCAUCUCCCUAUUUCCCAAAUUAUAAAAGUAUAAAGAAAUUGUUUUUCCUGAAAGAUUAAAUUAAAUCGUAUAACGCUUUCCAAGUAAAUCAUGCCACCAAAAUCAAGAAAGACCAAGGCUUCACAACAACUUCGAAAAGGAGCUAGUGGUGCUGCCAACCAGAAUGACUUACUUAUUAUCCAGGCUCUUAUACUUAGAUCUCAAUAAACCUUCGAACCUGAUUGAGAUUACUAUCUAGAACAACAGAAAAGGCGGUAACAUGUGGAUUUAUUCAGAUCAUAAACAAAGGCUUUUACCUCUUUCCCACAACCGCAACUGAAUCUAUAAAAACUGAAAUAUUUAAUGAUAGCUUGCGUCAAGAUAUUGCCAGGACCGUGAUGUAGAUAUAGGAGAUCGAGAGGUCGUGGCCUACUUCUGGGAUGUUUGAAUUCGCGACUUGUAGCCCUAGUUGGCAGCUGAUGCCCUGGCUAGGAAAAUAAACAGGCAACAAGAACGCGCGGUGCUGGCAACUCAGUUGCGAGGCCCGGCAUACUCGUCGCCAACCAUCUUGAGUCGAAGAGAGGAGGAAAAACUAUCCCCGGGAGCUUCGUGAGUGCGGCGAGUUUUGAACGUUUGAGUGACAAACCACAAAUGAAUUUAUCCAUACCAGAUUGCUUUUCAAUCCUGUUUGUCGAAUUCCUUGGCUUUUGGAGGCACUGGAGAUCGCGCCCACAGGAGACUACGAUCCCGCUAGGUCCAAACGAAUCCGGCGCAAGCUCCCGAACACCGGCACCACUAUUGCGGGCCUUACGAUCCGUGAUGGCGUCAUCAUUGCCACCCACAUCAGGGAGACAAGCGGCUCCAUGAUUCGCACAGGUCGUUCAAAGAAAAUAUUUCGCCUGCACGAUAACAUCUAUGCAGCUGGAGCUGGCACCGCCGAUGAUAUAUGUAGAUGCCGUUGCACGUCUUCUUCGGGCACAGCUUAACCAUAUUCGGAUGACAAUGUGCACAGAGGUGCCAGUUGUGCGCGCUAAACAUAUAAUUAAAAGGCUGAUUUACCGCUUUAAGCACGUAAACAGGAUGAACUGGAUAAUCGCCGCCGUAGACAGGGGUCGAGCCUCGAUUUAUAGUAUCCGUUUUAGCGGCGCCAGUAAUCCUGUCCCCUACGUAUUGCUGGGACUCUGCUACGCUAGAGUCGCGCUGGAAAGAAAACCUGGACGAAAAGGAAGCGACGCGCUUGAUUAUUGAUGCGGUUCGCGCUGCCAUCCAGACCGAUCGUGGCACACAGAGACAAGACCGUCCGGGUCUACCGUCCAUUUCUGCGUCAUCCGAAAUGACUACGUGGUAAGGCAGGGAUACAACGUCGUCGUCGAGAUUUCCCACCGUAUACGGUACAAGAGGGUGUCUGGGAAGUAGUUCACAAACAAUGGACAAAAAAAAACAAAAUGAACAAAAUGCAGUUUCAGCCGAAUUCGGUUAACUAAUAAAAUUUGGGAAACUUCAGUGGUUCAUUUGUAUGUA
Long non-coding RNA from Drosophila pseudoobscura, 1515 nucleotides. RefSeq lists it as uncharacterized. The transcript has 4 exons. Lineage: Eukaryota; Metazoa; Arthropoda; Insecta; Diptera; Drosophilidae. The record is from RefSeq and is a predicted model, not a curated record.